GAAUUCGAUUCAGGCCUAACACAUGCAAGUCGAGGGGUAUAGUUCUUCGGAACUAGAGACCGGCGCACGGGUGCGUAACGCGUAUGCAAUCUACCUUUUACAGGGGGAUAGCCCAGAGAAAUUUGGAUUAAUACCCCAUAGUAUGUUGAAGUGGCAUCAUUUUAACAUUAAAGUUCCAACGGUAAAAGAUGAGCAUGCGUCCCAUUAGCUAGAUGGUAAGGUAACGGCUUACCAUGGCGACGAUGGGUAGGGGUCCUGAGAGGGAGAUCCCCCACACUGGUACUGAGACACGGACCAGACUCCUACGGGAGGCAGCAGUGAGGAAUAUUGGACAAUGGGCGCAAGCCUGAUCCAGCCAUGCCGCGUGCAGGAAGACGGUCCUAUGGAUUGUAAAGGUGCUUUUGUACAGGAAGAAACACUCCCUCGUGAGGGAGCUGACGGUG
RNAcentral lists this ribosomal RNA (443 nucleotides) under uncultured bacterium. RNAcentral's name for it is "bacterial SSU rRNA". It matches the Rfam family "Bacterial small subunit ribosomal RNA", at positions 39 to 477 of the family's 1533-position model. The record is from RNAcentral.